GAUGAACGCUGGCGGCGUGCCUAAUACAUGCAAGUCGAGCGAACAGACGAGGAGCUUGCUCCUCUGACGUUAGCGGCGGACGGGUGAGUAACACGUGGAUAACCUACCUAUAAGACUGGGAUAACUUCGGGAAACCGGAGCUAAUACCGGAUAAUAUAUUGAACCGCAUGGUUCAAUAGUGAAAGACGGCUUUGCUGUCACUUAUAGAUGGAUCCGCGCCGCAUUAGCUAGUUGGUAAGGUAACGGCUUACCAAGGCAACGAUGCGUAGCCGACCUGAGAGGGUGAUCGGCCACCCUGGAGCUGAGACACGGUCCAGACUCCUACGGGAGGCAGCAGUAGGGAAUCUUCCGCAAUGGGCGAAAGCCUGACGGAGCAGCGCCGCGUGAGUGAUGAAGGUCUUCGGAUCGUAAAACUCUGUUAUUAGGGAAGAACAAAUGUGUAAGUAACUAUGCACGGCUUGACGGUACCUAAUCAGAAAGCCACGGCUAACUACGUG
This 497-nucleotide ribosomal RNA is filed under the name uncultured bacterium. RNAcentral's name for it is "partial 16S ribosomal RNA". It matches the Rfam family "Bacterial small subunit ribosomal RNA", at positions 28 to 507 of the family's 1533-position model. The record is from RNAcentral.